GGUGAGUAACACGUGGGUAACCUGCCUGUAAGACUGGGAUAACUCCGGGAAACCGGGGCUAAUACCGGAUAACUUUUUUCUUCGCAUGAAGGAGAAUUGAAAGAUGGCUUCGGCUAUCACUUACAGAUGGACCCGCGGCGCAUUAGCUAGUUGGUGAGGUAACGGCUCACCAAGGCGACGAUGCGUAGCCGACUUGAGAGGGUGAUCGGCCACACUGGGACUGAGACACGGCCCAGACUCCUACGGGAGGCAGCAGUAGGGAAUCUUCCGCAAUGGACGAAAGUCUGACGGAGCAACGCCGCGUGAGUGAUGAAGGUUUUCGGAUCGUAAAACUCUGUUGUUAGGGAAGAACAAGUAUCGUUCGAAUAGGGCGGUACCUUGACGGUACCUAACCAGAAAGCCACGGCUAACUACGUGCCAGCAGCCGCGGUAAUACGUAGGUGGCAAGCGUUGUCCGGAAUUAUUGGGCGUAAAGCGCGCGCAGGCGGUUUCUUAAGUCUGAUGUGAAAUCUUGCGGCUCAACCGCAAGCGGCCAUUGGAAACUGGGAGACUUGAGUGCAGAAGANGAGAGUGGAAUUCCACGUGUAGCGGUGAAAUGCGUAGAGAUGUGGAGGAACACCAGUGGCNNANNCGACUCUCUGGUCUGUAACUGACGCUGANCGCGAAAGCGUGGGGAGCGAACAGGANUAGAUACCCUGGUAGUCCACGCC
RNAcentral lists this ribosomal RNA (710 nucleotides) under Heyndrickxia oleronia. Its description in RNAcentral is "bacterial SSU rRNA". It matches the Rfam family "Bacterial small subunit ribosomal RNA", at positions 105 to 801 of the family's 1533-position model. The record is from RNAcentral. Lineage: Bacteria; Bacillati; Bacillota; Bacilli; Caryophanales; Bacillaceae.